UCCUCGUUAGCUCAGUCGGUAGGGUGCUCCACUGGGAAUGAAGAGGUCCCUGGUUCGACACCAGGUCCAGGCA
Molecule: transfer RNA, 73 nt
Filed under: Ixodes scapularis (black-legged tick)
Lineage: Eukaryota; Metazoa; Arthropoda; Arachnida; Ixodida; Ixodidae
Description: tRNA-Pro for anticodon GGG
Rfam family: tRNA
About the family: Transfer RNA (tRNA) molecules are approximately 80 nucleotides in length. Their secondary structure includes four short double-helical elements and three loops (D, anti-codon, and T loops).
Source: Rfam by way of RNAcentral